RNAcentral lists this ribosomal RNA (580 nucleotides) under uncultured bacterium. Its description in RNAcentral is "bacterial SSU rRNA". It matches the Rfam family "Bacterial small subunit ribosomal RNA", at positions 56 to 636 of the family's 1533-position model. The record is from RNAcentral.
UGCAAGUCGAGCGAUGAAAUUUUAACAGAACCCUUCGGGGCGAAGAUAAAAUGGAUUAGCGGCGGACGGGUGAGUAACACGUGAGUAACCUGCCUUAGACAUUGGGAUAGCCUCGGGAAACCGGGAUUAAUACCGAAUAACAUCACAUAGACACAUGUCCUUGUGAUCAAAACUCCGGUGGUCUAAGAUGGACUCGCGUCCCAUUAGCUAGUUGGUAAGGUAACGGCCUACCAAGGCGACGAUGGGUAGCCGGCCUGAGAGGGUGAACGGCCACAUUGGAACUGAGAAACGGUCCAAACUCCUACGGGAGGCAGCAGUGGGGAAUAUUGCACAAUGGGGGAAACCCUGAUGCAGCGACGCCGCGUGAACGAAGAAGGCUUUCGAGUCGUAAAGUUCUUUUAUAUGGGAAGAUAAUGACGGUACCAUAAGAAAAAGCCCCGGCUAACUACGUGCCAGCAGCCGCGGUAAUACGUAGGGGGCUAGCGUUGUCCGGAAUCACUGGGCGUAAAGGGUUCGCAGGCGGAAAUGCAAGUCAGGUGUAAAAGGCAGUAGCUUAACUACUGUAAGCAUUUGAAACUGC